Molecule: ribosomal RNA, 463 nt
Filed under: uncultured bacterium
Lineage: Bacteria
Description: bacterial SSU rRNA
Rfam family: Bacterial small subunit ribosomal RNA
Source: RNAcentral
GACGAACGCUGGCGGCGUGCCUAACACAUGCAAGUCAACUUGACUGAAGGAGCAAUCUGACAGUAGAGUGGCGCAAGGGUGCGUAACGCGUAAGUAACUUGCCCCAAGGUAAGGAAUAACGCCGAGAAAUCGGCGCUAAUACCUCAUAAUGCAGCGGAUCCGCAUGGAUAUGUUGUUAAAGGUUUACCGCCUUGGGAUAGGCUUGCGUCUGAUUAGCUAGUUGGUGUGGUAACGGCACACCAAGGCUACGAUCAGUAACUGGUCUGAGAGGAUGAUCAGUCACACUGGAACUGAGACACGGUCCAGACUCCUACGGGAGGCAGCAGUGAGGAAUAUUGGGCAAUGCUCGAAAGAGUGACCCAGCAACGCCGCGUGGAGGAUGAAGGUAUUCUAUAUCGUAAACUCCUGUGAGAGCAGACGAAAGACAGAUUAUUAAUCUGGAUGACUGUAUGCUCAGAGGAAG